AAGAGCGUGGUGCGGGAAAUCCGCACGCCACGUUCUGUGGGAGCGUGCAGCGAAGCUAGCUGCCAUUGCAGC
This 72-nucleotide unclassified non-coding RNA is filed under the name Bradyrhizobium erythrophlei. Lineage: Bacteria; Pseudomonadati; Pseudomonadota; Alphaproteobacteria; Hyphomicrobiales; Nitrobacteraceae. The record is from RNAcentral.